GGCAAGGGCUCUUCCGUCCUUUCCCAGAACUUCCACCAGUCUCCUGACUAAUCCUAAGUCCUUCCUUAACUGCUUGAUUUCCCGUGGCGCCCUUCUCUUCUCCUGAAGGCAACAAGAACACACAAUGAGUAAUGGGUAAAACGAAGAAUGCCUGGUUCCUAGCUUCUUUGCUCUUCGGGUUGUACUUCACCAGCGUCUGGACAGCUCCUCCACUCCCAUAGACCUCCUAGGUAGAUAUAAGGUAACACCCAAAUCCCUGAGGGCACAGGUAAGGAACAACGGUAAGGAUGUAGCAAGGUAACUAGGCCAUGCCCCUGGAUGUCCACCGGUAUAUCAGAAGCGAGUAACUUUUUACUCGUAUCACAGAUAGAUAUUGAGCAAGGUGACUGACUCUUCACACUAGGCUUACUGAGCGGGUUCCAGAGCAAUGGCUUUUAACUCGUGCAGGCGGGUAAGUAUUCAACAAGUAGCUGUAUCUUCACACUGGGCUUUACAGGGCGUAUUCAAGGGCAAUAGCUUUUAGCUCGUACAGAGAGGUAAGUAUUCAACAAGUGGCUGUAUCUUCACGCUGGGCUUUACAGGGCGUAUUCAAGGGCAAUAGCUUUUAGCUCGUACAGAGAAGUAAGUAUUCAACAAGUGGCUGUAUCUUCACGCUGGGCUUACAGAGCGUAUUCAAGGGCAAUAGCUUUUAGCUCGUACAGACAGGUAAGUAUUCAACAAGUAACUGUAUCUUCACGCUGGGCUUUACAGGGCGUAUUCAAGGGCAAUAGCUUUUAGCUCGUACAGACAGGUAAGUAUUCAACAAGUGACUGGAUCUUCACGCUGGGCUUACAGAGCGUAUUCAAGGUCAGUAGCUUUCCCCACAAUAUCCGCACAAUACCUUGUUUUGCUUUCACACUUCACCUUCGAGCUGGGUCCGGAGAACGGAGUUAUAGGCGGGCGUAGGUGGGAUAGGUGGGCACCGCCACGGCAGCCUACGUUCUUUCCAACAGGAACUUUUCUCGGCCUGGAGGGCAAGUACAGACAACAGGGAAACGGCACAGCACUGCAAAGCUUUAGUGCACACACGUCAAAGACAGACUCACCCACUGCACUACACACACUUCAGUGAUUUUUAAGGUCGGUACUCCACACCCGGUCGGAUUUCGUCCUGGAGGAAUUUGCAGUCGCUGUCACGGUAAGUGCUCCAAACUUUACGGUGUGGCCACAGCCAAAUAACAUCCAUUCACCCACGCUCUACUUCGGCUCACCCACUCGUCUCGUCC
Molecule: long non-coding RNA, 1265 nt
Organism: Cyprinus carpio carpio
Lineage: Eukaryota; Metazoa; Chordata; Actinopteri; Cypriniformes; Cyprinidae
Source: Ensembl